RNAcentral lists this small RNA (8483 nucleotides) under Pan troglodytes (chimpanzee). RNAcentral's name for it is "retained intron". Lineage: Eukaryota; Metazoa; Chordata; Mammalia; Primates; Hominidae. The record is from RNAcentral.
CUUUCUUGGAAGCAUUUUAUGACUCUUAUUUCUGUUACCAACACAGCUUUUAUUUAUGUCUGCAUGUAUCCUUUGAAGAAACACAACUUUCCAGGUUCUAUGUUUUAUUUGCAUUCUUAGUGUCUGGCACAUUGUCUGACACAGUGUAAAAGCUGAGUAGAAUUUUGCCUGAUAGCAGAUGUGCCUAAAGUGAGGGUGUCCAAAAUUUCAUUAAAUGACGACUGCUUUAAUAUGAAUUCUUGGCUAAGGCAGGAGAAUCGCUUGAACCCAGGAGGCAGAGGUUGCAGUGAGCCGAGAUCACACCACUGCACUCCAGCCUGGUGAGAGAGGGAGACUGCAUCUCAAAAAAAAAAAAAAAAAUAUAUAUAUAUAUAUAUAUAUGAAUUCUUACUGAUAGUAUUAAAUGAUUAUCUCUUUACAUUCACAGUAAUGUCUUACAAUAACAGAAUGCAGGAGAGCACAUAUCAAUGAAGAAAAGACAAAAUGUACUUAUCCAUGAAGCUGAGGUUAAGAAACCAGUGUCUUCAAGAGCCAGGGACAGCACUGGGUCUGUGCAGAGUUGAGAGAUGGUGAUGACAUGUGGUUUCCAGCAUUCCUCGCCCAGUCCAGGGACACUGUGGGUGUGCCCAGCUUAAGUCCAGUCCAGUAACUGGAAAUACAAGCCCAAGUUCUGGAGAGUUUGAGCUGCAGAGAUAUAUAUGGGAACACUUUGAACCUUGACUCAUUGGCCAUAACCAGUAGAGUGGAAAAUACAAGAAGAGAAAAAAACAUUGAACUGCGAUUUUAUAACAUCCUUUACUCGGCAGAGAGAAGAGGAAACACCAGGAAAGAAAACUGUAUUACGAUGUGAAAACUUAACGUUGAGAAAUUCAGGCAUCUUGGGGUUAGUGAGGAGAAGUUUUAGGGGCUUAGAUUCUUCAAAACACAUGUACAGAAAUGCAUAUUUCAUCUGAUAUCAAAUGACAUUUAUAGUGCUAAUCUUUACCUCAAGACUUCACAUCUUUUGGUGAUUGUAUCUUUUAGGUUUAUAGCAGCUAAGUUUGCAUGAAAACACCAGGGCUGUUUCAUUUCAGUCAAGAAUUAAUGUUCAUUGAUUGUGCUUCUGCAUUUCAUGUAACUAUUGUAGAAUUUGUUUUAGUUUUAUGAGGGAAUAAUUGGUCCAACUUCUAUAUAACUCAGGAAUUUACUCUCAAACAACACUGUCAAUUAGUUACUUAUCUCUCUGGAAAUGAUCUGGGAACAUGGAGAGGAAAGGGAGGAAGGGGCAAAAUCUGACCACUUAAAUCUAAGCAUAUUAGAUCAUUUUAUGCUAGAAAGUCCUGAAUGAUGUGACUUUCGUUCUUGUAAAACACCUCUUUCCAUAGAUUCAUGGCCCAAACAGUAUAUAAAGAGUGGGGAAGGAACUGCAUUUGCAAAUAGUUCAAAUCAUUGCUCCAUCUUAACUAUGCAGUUCACAAAGUGUGAAGAAAUUUGAUCAUCUCAAAAAAGAUAAUGGGGAAAAAUAUGUUUUGUUCUGUGACUUUAAAGUCUUGCAAUAUUUUACAUAAAUGAUAAUGGGUGCUUUAAUAAGAACCCUUGAUACUUUUGUUAUUGUAUUCAAUAUAUGCAUAUAAUACAAUAGGAUGAUAUUGUUUUGGAUUUGGAAAUGUAUUCUUUCUUAUGCAAUCUUAUGCAGUCAUACUGCUUGAAUAUCAUUACCUGAAUUUAUCUUUCUUUUUUUUGUUGUUGUUUUACACUCUACUUAUUUGGUGCCUGUCAGUCUUUUGUCAUCAGUUUAUAUUCUACUAAACUCAAAAAGACAAUCUCAUACCUUUUGUAAUUGUAGGCAUUCUUUACUAGAUUUUUAAAUACACUUCAAAAAUUCAAGUACUUUGAUUUCAUGCCAUCAAGUAGCUGAAUCUAUCCCCCCCUCUCUUUUUAAAUUUAAGUGAGUAGUUCAAUUUCUGUCACUUUCUACUUUGUGAAUUCUAAAUCUUUUAAAACCAUCUUGCCAUUUUUCGUGCACUUACCCUUACAGAAAACUCUGUGAAACACUACUUAUCUCUACCUUUAUGUUUUUAACUCCUUUUUUAUAUUACUAUUCCCUCUGCUUUCUAAAUGCACAUAUUAAUUUGUUCUUUUUAUUCUCUGCAGCUCUUCUCAGUAUAUGAAUUCAGUUUCCCAUCAGUCUCCAUACAAUUUUUAAAAAGUUGAGUAUUCUGUUAUUUUAAUAUGAUAUCUAGUGCCCAUAUUCUAAUUCUGCCUCUUAUUUUUAAAAUAAUUUUAUUGUUGAUUUAAAAUGACAACAGUUUCAAUUCCCAGAAAGUGAAAGGAAACAAAGGAAGAAUAUUAUGGGCUUAAUUUUUAUCAGUGAACUUGUAAGUGAAGAAAAGAUUUGGGGAAGGAAAUGAACAUAUUAUAUUGCAAAAUAGUAAGGAACAAUCAGAUGUGUUUUCUAGUCUCUGGAAAAGCAUGUUUCAAGAAAUUCAAUGAAAAGUUCGUCAUGCUUGCUUAGAUUGUUGAGAAGCAAAAAUGCUGAUGAACAUUUGGAAGCAAUGAGAAUGUAAUUCUAAUCAUACUAUUUUAAUAAUGUUGCAAAACUCUCCAAACACUACUCUGUGUGGAUGUCUUUCAGAAUAUGAUGAAUACUAGUAGUCUUAUUCUGCCCUUUUCUCUCUAUCACAAUGUAUACAUUGUAUAUUGCAUACACAUAUUUUCCAAAUAUUACAUAUAAUUUCAUGUAAUUUAUAGACCUAUUAAGGCCCAACCAUUUUCUUGGAUAGGGGAUUCUUUAGAAGUCCAGCUUAAAUAAAGCCCUUAUAGAAAGUUUUUUUAAAAUUUAUACAUAAUCACCUAAGGUAACCUUAUCUACUGAACUCUUAGUACAUGCUACCGGAACCUUUUAUCACGUUUCUUCCUGGCUUGCAUUACAACACUGUUGACAUAUCUCAGCCUUACUUCUAGGCUUCUUUGAGAGCAUGACUCAUGUUUGUAUUCCUCACUGAGGUUGAAUGAAUAAGAGAAACUACAGUAGUAGAAAAAACAGUACAUGUAGAUAUCAAUGAAUAUGAAAGGGUCAAAUGGAUCUAUUAUAGUAAGCACAAAAUCAACUGACACCAGCAAAGUAAACCCAAAAUUUUUAAUGGUAUUUUAAUAGAUCAAGAGGAACAAGCAGAUUUUUGAGACAGUUGUCUCCUACUUUCUCUAUCACAGGGAGUAAUUUUAAAAGAAAAAUGGAGGGUAAGUUUCUUUAAGAGAAAAUUGUAGUUUAAAACAGGUCAUGGGAUAAUUAGAAAUAAUUUAAUUUCUUUAGAGGAUUUUAAUCUUUCAACUGCUUGCAAUUAGAUCCUAAGGCAAUAAAAGAAUAAGGAGAUUUGGAAAACCAUUGUCUGUAAUCUCUGAAGAAAAGUGGACAUUAGGGGAGUCAGUUGAAAAGCAAAGCUAUCACCAUUUUCUAAAGAGGAAAAAGGUGAACCUCACAAACUAUAGACCAAAAAAAUAGGACAUCGAGAGAAAGAAUAUGAAGCUAGCAUAGGUUCACAAAGAAUGAGUCAAAUCAAACAACAUGCAUUUUUUAUUUAUAAAGCAUGACUUGUUCAUUGUCAAUUCAUGUUAGCUUAAUCAUUAGGCAUUAAUGCCAUCACUGCAAUGCAUAUGUCAGUAAUAAAUAAUCAAAGACCAGGCUUCCAUCAUUCUGUUUAAUAUCUUCAAGUAAUGCUUAAGUUUGCAAAUGCUCUUUUAACACAUUCUCCAUAUGCAGCCUGCCCAGCACUGCACACAACAGACCUGUUACUUCCCCCUCACGAGCACUCCUAAUAUUUCAUGUGCUCAUCCAAUUGACUUCUCCCACUGGUGCCUCAUAUUGAAUUUGUAGAAUCACACCUGCUCCUUUUUCAAAACUCUUCUGAGUUUUUUCUUAAAUAAUUCACUGACCCCAAAGUUGUCAGAUAUUUGAAGACUACUCGCACAAUUUUAAUAUUAUAAAUGUAUAAUGUAAAUGUAAUUAAGAUUUGUAUAAUGUACGAUGUACUUUGGUAAAUAAAAGUAUGCUGUGAAUAAAUACGUAUGAUACAAUUCAAAAUUUUACAUAAAUAUGUGAUAAAAUUUAGCUCAUAUUCUUUUCUUUUUUUUCUUUGAGACGGAGUCUCACUCUGUCGCACCCAGGCUGGAGUGCAGCAGCAUGAUCUCAGCUCACUGCAACCUCUACCUCCUGGGUUCAAACGAUUCUCCUGCCUCAGCCUCCUGAGUAGCUGGGAUUACAGGUGCCCACCACCAUGCCCAGCUAAUUUUUUUCUAUUUUUGUUGUUGUUGUUUUUAGUAGAGACGGGGUUUCACCAUGUUGGUCAGGCUGGUCUUGAACUCCUGACCUCAGAUAAUCCACCUGCCUCGGCCUCCCAAAGUUCUGGGAUUACAGACGGUGCCCGGCCUAGUUCAUGUUCUUUGAGGACAAUUAUGAAUAUUUUUAUGCACUGUUAAUUUUCAUUAAGAUAUUGAUCAAUUAAUAGCUAUAUAUGUUCUAUAAAUUAAUCCUAUCUAGUUUCAAUCUUAAAUUGUUUGCAUAUACUAAUCUAGUUUAUUGUUUGCAUAUAUUUUAUAGUGUAGAAAUUAGGCAUUUUAAUAAAAUUUUAAAAUUUCCAGGACAUACUGUUAAUGACUAUGCUUCCUACUAUAGGCCAUAAUUAAUUUUUUUCUAUUGUCAACAAUAUUUUGGUAGGGAUGAUCAGGAAAUAAGGAAAUGUUUCCUUCAUUUGUUAACAAUAGGUGUUUGGGGAUUUUAAAAUGAAAAUUGAAGAAGUAAAAGACACCAUAUAUUUAGUUUGUUUGAUUUCGUGGCUUCAAGAGCUCAAUAAUUUAUUGAAAUAUUUUACAGACCAAAGAACAACAGAUAUAUUACGUUUAUAAGCCCCCACAUAUUUUAAAGGAUAAUGGUUUAUAUAUGAAAAUUCCCUGAACCUACACUUCAUCAGGAAAGGCUAAAUAAAAGAAGUUUACAUUUCCUAGGACUAAUGGAGAUUUAUUUCCCAGUCCUCUUCUCUGGAGACAAAUGUAGGUCUCUCUUGAAAAGCAGAAAGAUUUGCAUAUGAGGUAUGAUUUAGUGGGCUAGAAACAUCUUUUCCACCCUCCCCAAAAUGUUUCACUAUGUUUUAUCAUACUAUCUGAUAAUUUUGCACUAAAGUUUUCUUUCUGUGUUAAGAAAAUGCAAAUAUCUCUGAAUGGGUCUCUUUGCUUUAUUCAUACUCAUAUGGCUACUACUGAACAAAAUAUGUUCAUUACAGGAUGAAGGGAAUGUUGCCAGCCAGCAAAUCCCUAGAGUCUGCACUACACCAAACGUUGCUUAGCAAUUUCCAGGAUUUUCUCAGUCUAAUUUGCAAGAAUCAAGGAGAUGUUUGUGUAUGCUACAUGAAGUUGUAAAAUUGGUAUUUAUUGUAUGUUUCUAUAUUGAAAGCUUUACAAACAAAGGAAAUGGAAAGUUAACAGGUGGAUAUGAUAGUGUGGCACUACUUUAGCUGGAUGGUAAGGGAGAGCUUCUCUUAGGAAGUGUUUUAGGCCAGGACUUGAAUAAUGAACAGUAUCUAGUUGUACAAAAAUCUGGAGGAAAGACUUUUCAGGCCCAGGAGAAAUGAAAAUUCUUUUCAUGCAUACAAGAAUGAAAGUGAAAAUUACCUACUCUAUGUCCUGAAGUGGGAAGUUGGCUUGCCAGAGAGUAGGUAAUUUUCACUUUGAUUCUUUCAUGCCUUCAGUUAUACUACUUCUUAGGUUAGUUCAUAAGGGCUUCCACAAUUUGGUUCCCACUUAAAAUUUAAAACUUCCCUAACCCAUUCCCACCAUAUAUUGUGCUAAUCCAUGCAUAUGUGACUUUGCGUAUGCUGUUUUCAUUGUUUAAUAUUCUUCUCAUGCAUUCUUUCUUUCCUGAUAACGAACUCAUCUUUGAAACUCCCCUUCAAGCAUCCUCUCCUUUAGGAGGCCGCUUCUCACUGUCUCCUGCCUACCAACCAUUGAAUUGUUCGAUUUUUAAGCUGCCAUUGUCUUGUGCAGUUGACACAUUUCUUUGCAAUUACUGAUUUACAUGUCUGCUUUUAUCACUGGUGAGGUUCUUUAGGAGAGAGACAUUAUUAAUUCAUCUCUGGGCACAUAUGUUCCAACAUAUUAGAAGUACUACAGAGUGCUAUUUCUAUGUAGUAUGUAGUAUUAGUAGGAGUUACUCACAAAUCAUUUUUAAAUAAGUGAUUAUAAUAUCUUUUUGUUAUUAUGAUUUAACACAAGAUAGAAUUUAUUUUCAGAAGUUUCCAUGAUAUAUUUGUUCUAUUUAAAAUCCAAUAGCCAUUAGAAUAUUACCAUUAUUUAAUGUAAAACAAUAAAAUAUUAAAUAUGAUCAUUCAUAUUUAAUGCAAACCGAACUCAUGGAAAUAUUGUGUAAAGAUCAAGUAAUUUUUGACAUACAAUUUUAAACUCAACUUUUCAUAUAGCAUACCUUAUGAUAUAUUUUCAGCCUACUUUUAAAUAUGUUGGCAUUGAAAGCCAGUUACUAAUUCGCUGAAUUCAUGAUUUCUUUUUAAGUUAUAGAAGUGGAAUUAUGUUUGAGACAUUCAUUGCAUUACAUUUACCAGAACUUGAGUUCUUAACAUGGAACCUGAGAGUUUCUCCAAUUCUUAAGUCCCUGGGAGAAAUAGAUUAGCUGGAUGAGGAACUGAGAGGAAAAAUGGUCGGAGAUGUAGCAAGAGUUGGGAAGAAGGAACAAUGAUUUGCUUUCAAGGAGAUUUCUUCAUUGGUCUGUUUUCAGUGACAAACCCACUGCGAUAAUACAUGUAAAGUGAAAACAUUCAGGAAGUUCCCUUAGAAACCUUUUUCUGGCAGUUCCUAAUUCUACAACAUUGUAUAAGUGAAAUACCAUAGUUACUGUCAUAGUAAAUUGAGCCAAGAGAAACAAGGGAGCAGGAGAAGAAAAGAAUUAAAGAGAGUUUUGUCUUUCAGUCUUCACUCUGUUUCUUCUUGCUUUUACCAGUCAUUCAGGUUUAUAUAAUUUCUUUAGAGAGGCUUCUACUAUGCAGGUCUUCCUUCAAGUCAUUGGUAUUACCUGGCAUGAUAUGUGAGCCUUUAAUAUCAGUCCCUUUAUCUCUUUAUUUUUAAAGUUUAUAUCAGUAUGGAGUCCUGGAUUCUUAAUUAAUUUAAUAGGUUAGACUUUACUGCUAACAUUCUUCAUUUUGAUGCUCAAAUUUUCCAAAAUUUGGCCAGCAGGGUUCCUUAAAGCUGGGUACCUUGCCCUUUCAACAUGUCCCUCUGAUUCUUUAUUUUUAUUUACUUAUUUAUUUAUUUAUUUAGAGACUGAGUCUUGCUCUGUCUCCCAGGCUGGAGUGCAAUGGCACAAUCUUGGCUCACUGCAACCUCUAUCUCCCAGGUUCAAGCAAUUCUCCUCCCUCAGCCUCCCGAGCAACUGGGACUACAGGCAUGUGCAACCAUGCCUGGCUAAUUUUUUUUGUAUUUUUAGUAGAGACAGGGUUUCACCAUGUUGGUCAGGCUGGUCUCGAUCUCCUCACCUCAAAUGAUCCAUCGCCUCGGCCUCCCAAAGUGCUGGGAUUACAGGCGUGAGCUGCCACACCCAGCCGUCCCUCUCAUUCUUUAAGUACUUCUAUGUUUUCUAAGGUACAAGAUGUUCCAUAUUAUUUUGUUAUUUGUCUUCCCCAGCUCUGAAAUCUGCCUUUCCUUCAAGGAGCCUUGGUUCUUUCUAGUGACAAAUUAUAUUUAGAAACGAAGAUCUGGGUAUUUGACUUGUAUAUUGCUAUUAAUUGGCCAUUGUUUCUAGUCUCUUUCAGUAGACAGAGCUAAGAAAUGUAAAAGGAAAUAUUUGAAUGUAUGUAUAUGUGAUAUAUUAAGUACAUUUAAACAUAUUAAGUUCAUGAGUUCAUACUAAUACUUUCAAUAAGCCACAAUUCCCUUUUCAUGUUUUCGAAGGAAAAAUAUCCAUUGUCUAUAUACAGUGGACAUAGAUAGUAAUAAUACUGAUCUUGAAAAGAGCAGUCUUAAAUAGAUCCCAUUAAUAGUUAAAGAUAACAUAUCUUAGAAUUCUAGAUAUUAGAGAGAUUAUCUAGAGCUGUAAUCUAGAUAUUUUAUAGAUCUUUGCUGUGCUGUUUUGAAUUUGUGUUGGAGUAGAACAAUCAGAUGACAAAAGCUCAUCCCACAUGGAAAAAUCAAAGCAUUCAUUACAGAGAGAAUUUUGAAAUAAAUGCAUAUAUAAAAUAUAUAUAUGCAUAUAUAAUGCAUAUGUAUAUGCAUAUAAAAUAUAUAUAUAAAAUGGGGGUUAUAAACAAUGAAGGAAAUAGUGAUACUAUCUAUGUGGGAACAAUACUAGUAUCCUCCCUUUGGAUGAAUACAGUAGCUACAGAUGCAAUUCUGGGGACUCUGUUUAGCAAUAGCUUAACUAUUGCUUGGCUACAAGCAUGGAUAACUUGUUCAAAGAUAAUGAGGAGUUGUAAAUAUUUAAAUAAACAGGAUUUGCAACAUAAAAA